This 1364-nucleotide ribosomal RNA is filed under the name human gut metagenome. Its description in RNAcentral is "bacterial LSU rRNA". It matches the Rfam family "Bacterial large subunit ribosomal RNA", at positions 1039 to 2421 of the family's 2925-position model. The record is from RNAcentral.
CUAAGGUCCCAAAGUGUGUGUUAAGUGGAAAAGGAUGUGGGAUUUCAGAGACAACUAGGAUGUUGGCUUAGAAGCAGCCAUACAUUUAAAGAGUGCGUAACAGCUCACUAGUCGAGAAAACCUGCGCCGAAAAUUUAACGGGGCUAAAACACGACACCGAAGCUACGGAUUCCUUACUAGGUAAGGAGUGGUAGAGGAGCAUCCUGCAAGGACGAAGCCAAAGUGAGAACGAUGGUGGACGAAACAGGAGAGAGAAUGCCGGAAUGAGUAGCGAGAUAGAAGUAAGAAACUUCUAGGCCGAAUAUCUAAGGUUUCCUGGGUAAAGCUAAUCUUCCCAGGGUUAGUCGGGGCCUAAGGCGAGGACGAAAGUCGUAGUCGAUGGAUAACAGGUUGAUAUUCCUGUACUACGUAUCAUCAGAACUGUGGGGACGCAGGAGGAUAGGAAAACCGGGGAAUGGAAAAACCCGGCCAAGUACAAAGUCAAGGGAGAUAGGCAAAUCCGUCUCUUGAUGAUGAAGUGCGAUGGGGACUGAACAAAAGUAGGGAAGUUUCCGAAUCCACACUGUCGAGAAAAGCCGCUAUUGUGUGAUACGUACCCGUACCGUAAACCGACACAGGUAGAUGAGGAGAAAAUCCACAGGCCGACGGGAGAAGUGUUGUUAAGGAACUCGGCAAAAUGACCCCGUAACUUAGGGAGAAGGGGAGCCACGCAAGUGGCCGCAGAAAAGAGGCUCAAGCGACUGUUUAGCAAAAACACAGGUCUCUGCGAAACCGAAAGGUGAAGUAUAGGGGCUGACACCUGCCCGGUGCUGGAAGGUUAAAAGGAGAGGUUCGACGUAAGUCAAAGCUUUGAAUUCAAGCCCCAGUAAACGGCGGCCGUAACUAUAACGGUCCUAAGGUAGCGAAAUUCCUUGUCAGGUAAGUUCUGACCCGCACGAAAGGUGUAACGAUUUGAGCACUGUCUCGACAACACGCCCGGUGAAAUUGAAGAACCAGUGAAGAUACUGGUUACCCGCAACAGGACGGAAAGACCCCAUGGAGCUUUACUGCAGCCUGAUACUGGGAUUCGAUGAUAUAUGUACAGGAUAGGAGGGAGACUAGGAAUCCGGGACGCCAGUUUCGGAGGAGUCGACGGUGGGAUACCUCUCUUAUGUUAUUGGAUUUCUAACUUGGCACCGUGAUCCGGUGUGAGGACAAUGUCAGGCGGGCAGUUUGACUGGGGCGGUCGCCUCCUAAAAGGUAACGGAGGCGCUCGAAGGUCACCUCAGAAUGAUUGGAAACCAUUCAAAGAGUGUAAAGGCAAAAGGUGGCUUGACUGCGACACCGACGGGUGGAGCAGGUACGAAAGUAGGACUUAGUGAUCC